This 497-nucleotide ribosomal RNA is filed under the name uncultured bacterium. RNAcentral's name for it is "partial 16S ribosomal RNA". It matches the Rfam family "Bacterial small subunit ribosomal RNA", at positions 28 to 507 of the family's 1533-position model. The record is from RNAcentral.
GAUGAACGCUGGCGGCGUGCCUAAUACAUGCAAGUCGAGCGAACAGACGAGGAGCUUGCUCCUCUGACGUUAGCGGCGGACGGGUGAGUAACACGUGGAUAACCUACCUAUAUGACUGGGAUAACUUCGGGAAACCGGAUCUUAUACCGGAGAAUAUAUUGAACCGCAGGGGGCGUUAGAGAAAGACGGUUUUGCUGUCUCUUAUAGAUGGAUCCGCGCCGCAUUAGCUAGUUGUUAGGUGAACGGCCUACCAAGGGAACGAGGCGUAGCCGACCUGAGGGGGUGAUCGGCCGCACGGGAACUGAGACACGGUCCAGGCUCCUACGGGAGGCAGCAGUAGGCAAUCUUCGGCAAUGGGCGGAAGCCUGGCGGAGCAGCGCCGCGUGAGUGAUGAAGGUCUUCGGAUCGUAAAACUCUGUUAUUAGGGAAGAACAGCUGUGUAAGUAAAUGUGCCCGUCUUGACGGUACCUGGUCAGAAAGCCACGGCUAACUACGUG